UUUUAAAAAUAAGGUGUAAUACAUCAUUUGGUCCCUUCUUUUGUGGCUUUUGUUCAAAAUGAUCCCACUUUCGGAAAAAAAUCACUUAGGUCCCAUAUUUCAUUAAAAGUUGUUCAAAAUGGUCCUUUUGAUAGACGACGUUAAAUUCUGACGUCAGAUAAGUUUUAAAAAGUUGAAUAAAAGUUUGCCACGCUAGCAUCUGCACCGUUAAGAAUUUAACGACGUCUACCAGAAGGACCAUUCUAAACAGCUUUUAAUGAAAUAUAGGACCUAAGUAAUUUUUUUCCGAAGGUGGGAUCAUUUUGAACAAAAGCCACAAAAGAAGGGACCACAUAAUGCAUUAAACCUAAAAAUAAAAAGUAAUAUAUGCUUAAUUAAUUAUAAAAACAGGAUGUUAAAGCGAGUUGGCUUGAAUAGUUUUGGUCAGAUCAUUAAUCAACCCAAAACAAGAUGAAGCAAGUUGACAUGCUAUGGUAAAUGAGCAAUAAAAAAAAUCUUAACUUGUUUUACCAAAUUAUGGGUACUAGAAAAAUUUUUUAAAUUAUAGACGGGAAUAUAUCCGUCGGUAAAUUUGUUAAUAAGUUUUGAUUUUUUUUAUCGAUGGAUUUUAUUGAUGGAAUCAUUAUUGAUGAAAAAAUCCGUUAGUAAAAAGAGCGAAAAUUUUCUCACUCAUUUUUUCAUUUAUUGACAGAAAUAUCUGUCGGUAAAAUUCAUCAUAGUAAAUUCGUCAAUAAAACGAGCGAAAUUUUUCCCACCCAUUUUUCCCCUCUAUCCGCAUGACAGAAACACUAUAUAUUUCUCUCUCUUGUGGGUGUUCAUCUACAUUGCGUGCAACAACUCCAUCUUCUCCCACUUCUUCGUCUUAGCUCCACCACAACAACUACAAGCCAAGUUGCCUCAAUCUUUGUUCAGCUAGGUUGUCGUCUCUGUUCAACCACAUUGCUACCAUCUUCGUUCAACUACACUGCCUCUAAUACUUUCGUAGAACAAAGUAACAAGCAUUGUUACCACUGUGCAAUGUCGCCAUUGUCCAUUCUAAGUCUGGUCAAAAGUAACGUUUGUCACCGUCCC
RNAcentral lists this long non-coding RNA (1071 nucleotides) under Vigna radiata. RNAcentral describes it as "long non-coding RNA (VRAD_LNC012475)". Lineage: Eukaryota; Viridiplantae; Streptophyta; Magnoliopsida; Fabales; Fabaceae. The record is from RNAcentral.